AUUACUGGAGACCUGGUCUUGUAGGAGGAGUAAAUAUGGUCGGAGGGUCACAGGAGGAAGGAGUGGAGGUACUGAAGAGCAAACAAGGAAAUAAUUUUUUAAAAUACUGUGUGAAAGAGGUACUCUGGAGGCAGCAGGGAUAUUGCAACCUAAUUUUACUCAUCUCUAGAAUGAAUGAGUAUGAAGAAUAAGGGGGGGAAGUUCUCGUGCAAGUUGGAAAUUUUUAAAGGGUUUCCCCAAUGAAAAAGGUGAAAUUAAUUUUUAAAGUCAGUGAUUUG
This 278-nucleotide long non-coding RNA is filed under the name Homo sapiens (human). RNAcentral describes it as "HSALNT0343723". Lineage: Eukaryota; Metazoa; Chordata; Mammalia; Primates; Hominidae. The record is from RNAcentral.